UACGAAGGGGGCGAGCGUUGUUCGGAAUUACUGGGCGUAAAGGGCGCGUAGGCGGCCCCUUUUGUCGCGUGUGAAAGCCCCGGGCUCAACCUGGGAGGUGCGCGCGAAACGGGGGGGCUUGAGUUCGGGAGAGGAGAGUGGAAUUCCCAGUGUAGAGGUGAAAUUCGUAGAUAUUGGGAAGAACACCGGUGGCGAAGGCGGCUCUCUGGACCGAGACUGACGCUGAGGCGCGAAAGCGUGGGGAGCAAAUAGG
This 253-nucleotide ribosomal RNA is filed under the name uncultured bacterium. RNAcentral's name for it is "partial 16S ribosomal RNA". It matches the Rfam family "Bacterial small subunit ribosomal RNA", at positions 524 to 776 of the family's 1533-position model. The record is from RNAcentral.